GGAUUGCCCUAGUAACGGCGAGUGAAGCGGCAACAGCUCAAAUUUGAAAUCUGGCUCUUUCAGAGUCCGAGUUGUAAUUUGCAGAGGGCGCUUUGGCGUUGGCAGCGGUCCAAGUUCCUUGGAACAGGACGUCACAGAGGGUGAGAAUCCCGUACGUGGUCGCUGGCCUUCGCCGUGUAAAGCCCCUUCGACGAGUCGAGUUGUUUGGGAAUGCAGCUCUAAAUGGGAGGUAAAUUUCUUCUAAAGCUAAAUACUGGCCAGAGACCGAUAGCGCACAAGUAGAGUGAUCGAAAGAUGAAAAGCACUUUGGAAAGAGAGUCAAAUAGCACGUGAAAUUGUUGAAAGGGAAGCGCUUGCAGCCAGACUUGCCUGUAGUUGCUCAUCCGGGCUUUUGCCCGGUGCACUCUUCUGUAGGCAGGCCAGCAUCAGUUUGGACGGUUGGAUAAAGGACUCUGUCACGUACCUCCUCUCGGGGAGGCCUUAUAGGGGAGUCGUCAUGCAACCAGUCUGGACUGAGGUCCGCGCAUCUGCUAGGAUGCUGGCGUAAUGGCUGUAAGCGGCCCGUCUUGAAACACGGACCAAGGAGUCUAACAUCUAUGCGAGUGUUUGGGUGUCAAGCCCGAGCGCGCAAUGAAAGUGAACGGAGGUGGGACCCCGUAAGGGUGCACCAUCGACCGAUCCUGAUGUCUUCGGAUGGAUUUGAGUAAGAGCAUGGCUGUUGGGACCCGAAAGAUGGUGAACUAUGCUUGAAUAGGGUGAAGCCAGAGGAAACUCUGGUGGAGGCUCGCAGCGGUUCUGACGUGCAAAUCGAUCGUCAAAUUUGGGCAUAGGGGCGAAAGACUAAUCGAACUAUCUAGUAGCUGGUUCCUG
RNAcentral lists this ribosomal RNA (870 nucleotides) under Quixadomyces hongheensis. Its description in RNAcentral is "partial large subunit ribosomal RNA". It matches the Rfam family "Eukaryotic large subunit ribosomal RNA", at positions 72 to 960 of the family's 3401-position model. Lineage: Eukaryota; Fungi; Ascomycota; Dothideomycetes; Pleosporales; Parapyrenochaetaceae. The record is from RNAcentral.